Molecule: non-coding RNA, 75 nt
Organism: Pangasianodon gigas (Mekong giant catfish)
Lineage: Eukaryota; Metazoa; Chordata; Actinopteri; Siluriformes; Pangasiidae
Source: the annotation of a GenBank genome assembly
UUAGCGGUAGCUCAGUGGAUAAAAUGUUGGCUUACUGACCGGAAGGUUGUGAGUUCAAAUCCCAGCUCUGCUAAG